GACGAACGCUGGCGGCGUGCUUAACACAUGCAAGUCGAACGGACAGGCCCUGCGUUUGUUGGGCGCUCGAUUGGCGAACGCGGGAGUAACACGUGAGUAACCUGCCCUUAACUUUGUGGUAUCUUUAGGAAACUGGGGCUAUUACCGGAUAGGAUCUCCUGCUGCAUGUGGGUGGUUGGUAAAUUUCGGCGUUUGUGGAUGGACUCGCUGGUUAUCCGCUUGUUUGUGGGGUAGUGGCUUACCAAGGCUGUGACGGGUAGCCGGCCUGAGAGGGUGACCGGCCACAUUGGGACUGAGAUACGGCGCAGACUCCUACGGGAGGCAGCAGUGGGGAAUAUUGCGCAGUGGGCGGAAGCCAGAUGCAGCAACGCCGCGUGCGGGAUGACGGCCUUCGGGUUGUAAACCGAUUUGGAAUGUGACGAAGAGGGAGUGACGGUAAUGGGUAAAGAAGCAACGGCUAACUACGUG
Molecule: ribosomal RNA, 468 nt
Filed under: uncultured bacterium
Lineage: Bacteria
Description: partial 16S ribosomal RNA
Rfam family: Bacterial small subunit ribosomal RNA
Source: RNAcentral